RNAcentral lists this ribosomal RNA (301 nucleotides) under uncultured bacterium. RNAcentral's name for it is "partial 16S ribosomal RNA". It matches the Rfam family "Bacterial small subunit ribosomal RNA", at positions 509 to 807 of the family's 1533-position model. The record is from RNAcentral.
CAGUAGCCACGGUAAUACGUAGGGUGCGAGCGUUAAUCGGAAUUACUGGGCGUAAAGCGUGCGCAGGCGGUUGUGUAAGACAGGUGUGAAAUCCCCGGGCUUAACCUGGGAACUGCGCUUGUGACUGCACAGCUAGAGUAUGGCAGAGGGGGGUGGAAUUCCACGUGUAGCAGUGAAAUGCGUAGGGAUGUGGAGGAACACCGAUGGCGAAGGCAGCCCCCUGGGCCAAUACUGACGCUCAUGCACGAAAGCGUGGGGAGCAAACAGGAUUAGAUACCCCCGUAGUCCCUGUCUCUUAUAC